RNAcentral lists this ribosomal RNA (497 nucleotides) under uncultured bacterium. RNAcentral's name for it is "partial 16S ribosomal RNA". It matches the Rfam family "Bacterial small subunit ribosomal RNA", at positions 28 to 507 of the family's 1533-position model. The record is from RNAcentral.
GAUGAACGCUGGCGGCGUGCCUAAUACAUGCAAGUCGAGCGAACAGACGAGAAGCUUGCUCCUCUGACGUUAGCGGCGGACGGGUGAGUAACACGUGUAUAACCUACCUAUCAGACUGGGAUACCUGCGUGACACCGGAGCUAAUACCGUAUAAUAUUUUUAACCGCAUGGUUCAAGAGUGAAAGACGGUUUUGCUGUCACUUAUCGAUGGAUCCGCGCCGCAGUAGCUAGUUGGUAAGGUAACGGCUUACCAAGGAAACGAUGCGUAGCCGACCUGAGAGGGUGAUCGGCCACACUGGAACUGACACACGGUCCAGAAUCCUACGGGAGGCAGCAGUAGGGCAUCUUGCGCAACGGGCGAAAGCUUGACGGAGCAACGCAGCGUGAGUGAUGAAGGUCUUCGGAUCGUAAAACUCUGUUAUUAGGGAAGAACAUAUGUGUAAGUAACUAUGCACGUCUUGACGGUACCUAAUCAGAAAGCCACGGCUAACUACGUG